GACGAACGCUGGCGGCGUGCUUAACACAUGCAAGUCGAACGGAAAGGCCCUGCUGGGGGGGCGUGCUCGAGGGGCGAACGGGUGAGUAACGCGUGAGUAACCUGCCCUUGACUGUGGGAGAACGUCAGGAAACUGGGGCUAAUACCGUAUAGUAGCGCCGCCUGGAGGGGGGGGGUUGGAAAGGGUGGGGGGUUGGGGACGCACGGCCGGCUUAUCUGCUGGUUGGUGGGGGAGUGGCUUACCAAGGCUUGGACGGGUAGCCGGCCUGGGAGGGGGCCCGGCACCAUUGGGACUGGGAUACGGCCCAGCCUCCUCCGGGCGGCAGCAGUGGGGAAUAUUGCACAAUGGGCGGAAGCCUGAUGAAGCACCGCCGCGUGCGGGAUGCCGGCCUUCGGGUUGUAAACCGCUUUCGCCUGUGCCGAAGCGUGAGUGACGGUACUGGGUGAAGAAGCACCGGCUAACUACGUG
RNAcentral lists this ribosomal RNA (468 nucleotides) under uncultured bacterium. RNAcentral describes it as "partial 16S ribosomal RNA". It matches the Rfam family "Bacterial small subunit ribosomal RNA", at positions 28 to 507 of the family's 1533-position model. The record is from RNAcentral.